This is a long non-coding RNA of Cyprinus carpio (common carp), 1165 nucleotides long. RefSeq lists it as uncharacterized. The record is from RefSeq and is a predicted model, not a curated record. Lineage: Eukaryota; Metazoa; Chordata; Actinopteri; Cypriniformes; Cyprinidae. The transcript has 3 exons.
GGAGCUAUCAAAAUAAAGUGUAACCAAUCCAUGAGACAUGACUACUGCUCCAUUGACUAACAACAAGGUUUUUUUGUCUAUCAUACUUUUUCACAUGGUUUCUUUAUAGCUUAUCUUUACACUACUAAGGUAGGCUAAAUGAGAAAACACAGUACUACAGAGUAUUGGACUUUCCUUAAGGUGCUCAGUGAUGCUGUUAUGCAUGGUUAUAAAUGGUAGAAAAUAAUAUGGACAGUUGUUAAUACCUGCUUAAAUGCAGUGCUGAUAUUUUCUGUCUUAUGCAAUUCUUUUAAUGGCCAGAGUGUUGGUUUGACUAUACAUAGGCAAUAGUUCCAAAACCCAUCAGUAGAAAGGAUAUUCUUUAUGCUAUAGUUGUACAUCUGUAUCACACCAAAAUCUGGAUAAUUAAUAAAAAAUUAUAAUACCAUAUUUUAUAGUCUCUUAGGCCUUGUGUGCAUUAGGCUAUAAUUUUGUAAAUUAAGUAAAAUUAAGUAAACGUCAAAUGACUCAAAAAACAUCUGCAAUGUAAUUGCAAAAAAGAAGCAACAGAUCCACUGCAAACAAAAUAUUGUACAGUUCUUUGUUCAGAACACGAUUUGCAUAGCAAUCAUUUUUAAGGCAUCAGAACAACUCGGCAAGGUUGAAGUGCACUCAGGAGUCAGGAAGAAGCGUGCCUGUUGUGAAGGAGAUAGGUCUAACCACUAUUGGCGGCUGUGAAGAGGAAGCAACACGUUUGCGAGUUGUUUGAUGCAGGAAUUGGAAUAUUAGCUACCUGAACCUCCUACCAGGAGCAGUCAGGCAUCUUCAGGCUCAAACAUUUCUCCAUUACAUUGAAGGAGUUCUCCCCUGACAGCUGGACACUUUAUGAUUGCUGUGGACCAGACCAUUGGGAAAGAUGGUGUCACAAAUUGUGGUGAUGCCCUUCUAAUAAUCUUUGUGACCUACUACUGCCUCAACAUAAACUAUCCAGUGGAACAUGGUGCAACUCUGGAGUUCAUGCAAAGUAGGUAUAGGCCGAUUACCGGUUUGAAGGUAUACCGCGGUUUGAAAAUUUCACGGUUUCAAAACCACUAAUAUUUUCCAUUAUACUGUUCCUGCGGUAUGCGCUGUUUUCCAUGUCUCCUCAGAGAUUGAAAGAGUAGGAAUCCCUCAGGCUGAGUGCAGU